Molecule: long non-coding RNA, 288 nt
Filed under: Musa acuminata (dwarf banana)
Lineage: Eukaryota; Viridiplantae; Streptophyta; Magnoliopsida; Zingiberales; Musaceae
Description: long non-coding RNA (MACU_LNC004342)
Source: RNAcentral
AUCCAAUCGCCUGGGAGGGAAGGUGAGGGCCACCGAAGCCGCACCGUGGCGACGCUGGCGCGACACCCUUGAUCGAGGUGAGUCCAGAACGGGCGGGUGAAGAGGCGGAGGAGGAGGAGGAGGAGAAGCGACGAGCGAGAGGCGGAGGUAAGCGUUGGCCAUCUUAAGGCAGAGAGGAUGAGGAGCCGAAAGAGAAGCCGUUCUUCUUCUUCGUCGGCUUCUCCAAUCCCGGCCUCGGCCUCCUUUCCUCCCUCCGUGCUCUGGCUUCUCCAAUCCCCGCCUCAAUUG